This 6860-nucleotide long non-coding RNA is filed under the name Sus scrofa (pig). RNAcentral describes it as "lncRNA (ENSSSCG00005028791.1)". Lineage: Eukaryota; Metazoa; Chordata; Mammalia; Artiodactyla; Suidae. The record is from RNAcentral.
GGAAUGGAAUAUCUUGGUCCCAGAGUGUGUGCUUCUCAGACAAGGCCCAGCUGUUUUCCAAGAUGACUGUACACUGAUACUCCCACAAGGAGGUGGUUCAUGAAGUUUUCCCUCCCUGUCUUCACUGAUUCUAUCAUCGGACCCGAAAACUUUUGCUGGCUGGCGAGUGUUGAUGCUGUGUCGCUGUGAAUUUACUUCCUGUUUCCCUGAUCCUGGUGAGGCUGGUGGUCUUUUCUUACGUUUGUUUCUUGGCCACUUAAAUUUCCCGUCUUGAGAAAUGCCUUGACCGGUUGCCCAUCUUUUUCUGUCGGGGUGUCUGUCUUUCAUAUUCCCUCUUCUGAAUGCCACUGAUCCUUAGGCCAGGGUGCUGUAAGUUAACUUCGGCUUCGUCAUUCUGCUCUCCUGCUUAUGCUACAGUGACUGUUGAUGAACAGUUCUUAAAUGUAACCCAAUUCCUCCUUCUAAAUUUCCCAAAUGCGCUUUGUCUAAAGAUGCCUGUAUUCGUGUAACUCUUGGAGGAUGUUUUCAUUGGGCGUGGAAGUCUCUCUAAGUUGGCGGUUGUUUUCCUCCUGCGUAUUGAAGUUAUUGUCCACCAUGUUCUGCCUCAUUUCGCAAGUUCAGCUGUUGCUCAUUUUAAAAUAAGCUGUCCGAUGUUUUCUGGCUGCUUUCAAGGUAUUUAUCUUUAUCUCUGGUCUUCUGAAGUUCUACUAUAAAAUGUCUUGAUGGGGAUGUCUUUUUUGUCAUUGUCGGGUUUGGAAUCUCUGCUGGGCUUCUGGAAUUCUCGGAGCCCUUAUCUGUAAACUCCUCCUCUGUCUCGUUUUCUCUCUCCCGGUUCUCUUGGAACUCCAGUUAAAUAUGUGAUAAAUCCUCACCACAACCACUGUUUUCUCUCUCUUUGUCUCUUGAUGUUGUAUUCUAGGUAGUGUCUUUUGGCCCGUCUUCCAGUUUAGUAAUUUUCUUGGUUACUGUUAAAUCUGGUCCACUGAGAUCUUUUUCUUUUUCUUUUUCUUUUUUUUUUUUUUUUUUUGUCUUUUUGCCAUUUCUUGGGCCGCUCCUGCAGCACAUGGAGGUUCCCAGGCUAGGGGUCCAAUUGGAGCUGUAGCCGUCAGCCUGCUUCAGAGCCACAGCAACGCGGGAUCCGAGCUGCGUCUGCAACCUACACCACAGCUCACGGCAACGCCGGAUCGUUAACCCACUAAGCAAGGGCAGGGACCGAACCCGCAAGCUCAUGGUUCCUAGUCGGAUUCGUUAACCACUGCGCCACAAUGGGAACUCCCACUGGGAUCUUAAUUUGGGUUACGAUAUUUUCCAGAUCUAGGAUUUCUGUUUGUUCUUUUCAGGUAUGCUUUUUAUUGUUUCUAGUAUCCUGCUUGAUUGUUAUUUCUUUGAAUAUGGUCUACAUAAUUUUAUAUUCGGCCUCUGAUCAUUUCAGAAUUUAAAAUAAUUGUGGAUCUGAGUUUAUUGACAGUUGCUUUUUCUGUUUCUUCUUCAUGGUGUCUUGUUUUCUUGUGUGCCUGUAUGUUUCACAAUAAUGCUGAGCAUUGUAUUUGGAAAGUAUUAUAGGACUGUGUUGAGGCCUAGGAUAGGAUCUUCCCCUGUAGGGUUUUCACUUACUUCUGUCCGAUGCCUCGGGGGCACUGCCAGUGUAGAACACCUUAAUCCAAGUUCAAGAUUUGCAUUUCCUGGACUAUUCAGGCGACCCAAAGUCAGAUUAUAAGAGCUGUGUUACAGUUCCCAUGUAGCGCCGUGGGUUAAGGGUCCAGUGGUGUCACUGCAGUGGCCCAGGGGUGCAGGUUUGAACUGCACAUAGCAGUAGUUUCCAUAUAACUGCGGGCACAACCAAAGAAAGGAGCUGUAACGCGGGAAGGCUCCUGUUCCUCUGGUUUGCCUUUUCCCCUGUGAAUGGAGUUUUAUUCUCCUAGCCCAAGUAGGCCAUCGCAUGUGUGACUUAGUUUCAUAACUAUUUCUUCCAGGUAGGGUGUGUCCUCAGGGCAAAAAUAAAAGGUUCCAUUUAUCGGGUGGCCCUCCUGAGUUUCUUGUCUUCUCUUAGACUUUGACUUGGUAAUUCUUUACUAUCUCUGUCACUUCUUUGAUGUUUAUAUGAUAUUUUUGUUUUUAUUAAUCCAGCUUUUUUAGCUGACACAAGGGAGAAUUUAUCCAGCUCGUUUAGUCUACCCUUAUCGAGAUCAGAGGUCCUUAUGUAAAUUUCUGAGAGCAGGGAUUUUGUUUUGUUCACCUUGUUUUCCUAGAAGAGUUGUGGGAUACAGUAUCAAGUCAGUAUUCACUGAAUGGCUCAGUGAAUAAGCUAGUAUUUUAAAGGAAAUUUAACUUCCUUAUGGGGUGCAGUCCCCUUUUUGUUCUUAAAAAUAAAAUUUGGCAGUUCUUAAGCAUUUUUCUCUUCCAUAUGUAUUUUAGAAUUAGUUUGCCAAAGUCCAUAUGAACCCUGAGAUUUGACUUAGAAUUGCACUGAAUUUAGAAAGUAAUUUUUGGAGUCGUUUCCACUGUGCCACGAUGGGAGCUCCUUGUUCAAGAAGUUUUAGUCUCCUGCAGAUGGUGUGUGUAAAUGUUUCAUAUCUGGCUUUCCAUGCAGGGCAUGUGUGUGUGUGUGUGUGUGUGUUGCCAGAGGCACGGGUACUUAAUUUGUAGCCUUUGCCCAUUUCCAUGAUCUUCAUGCCCACAGAGUGACCAGUUGCCAGCCACCAAGUUGGGCGGAGAUGCACCCAGUCACCUGUCGUUGUUCCAUCACACCCGUGCCGAAGUUCAGAAGCAUCAGUCUGUGUCAUUUAAUGACAGUCACCACUGUCAUUACAAGUGGAACUUCUCCCUCCCACCAUGUGACAACUGCUUUAGAAGCAGACCUAACACGUGGCUUCUCCUCCAUCUGCGAGCUCUGACUUUUAAAUCCUAAAGACUUUGUUAUUUAACAGAAGAGUCGCCCACGAUACCGCUCUCUGUAGUAAAGAUCACCCAGUCCCUUGUAUGUCCUGGUUGCUCUCAGCAGAAGAUGAAAUGGUUACGGGUCAACAGAACUCACUUGUAGGAGUGGAAGCACAACCUUCAGCGUAGAAAGUUGUUUGGAGGCGUGUUUUGUCUUGGACUUUAGUAUUGGAGCUGUUCCAAAAACUGAAAACAUGCCAAGAAACACUCCUUACCGUUAGAUAAAAGCCUGGUGGAAACGAAGGUCUCAUGGCAGUUCCAGAAUGUCUCCACUUGCCUAUUUGUGGCGAUAGUAGAACUCUAGUAUAUUCACAAGUCAGCUCCCGGCCCACCUCCCAUCUGUAGCCCAGACCUGUGCGUGCCUUUUGAACCCCUGGGUAUACACGUUUCUCCUGUCUUCAGUCUCUGGGGAGAAGAUUGUUUGUAAAGCAAAAGGGCAUUCCGUUCUCGAUGCCAAAAUGCCCAAGUGGCUUGGUUCCUGCCCAUAGAACCAAUGCCAUGGGCGAGGCUUGGAAAAACCAGUUCCUUUCGCAUUAACUGAGGACCGCCUGCUCUCUGUCCCUCCCCUGAACCUCAGGGAAGAAAGCAGACGGAUCCCUCGUCAUUCCAGUCAUGACACGGCUAAUUUUUGUUCUGAGUCGCGGGUAACGUUCGUUCACAGGAACAGUGUCACUCCUGGUGGAUGCGCUGCCCUCUGCACGGUACCAAAUAACACUGGCGAUGGAAACGUCGUCGUCCGCUCUCAGCGCCUCUGCCAGUGAGUCGUGUGUGUUUACUCAGUAAGUAGGUGAUGGGCUUUCUGCGAUGAGGCAUCAUGGAUGGAGUCUGUCCACAUGAAUUAAGAUGAAGCCAGUAUCAUCUGACUGUAGCUGGUUAGGGGUUGGAGAUGCUCACACAUGUUUAAACUGUAAGAAAUUUUUAGUUUCAUUUUAUCACUGGAAGAGAACUUAAGUUCAAAUAAGCCAUCACCAUGGUGCUAGUAAAAUUUUUUCUUGUUAAGUUUGGUUGGCUGGUUGGUUGGUUUUCCUUUUUGGCUAGUUUUAUUGGUUGGUUGGUUGGUUGGUUGGUUCUUGGCCGCACUCGCAGCCAUGUAGAAGUUCCCUGGCCAGUGAUCGAACCCACACCACGGUUGCAGCCUGUGCCACAGCUGCAGCAAUGCCAGAUCCUUAACCCGCUGUGCCACCCGGGAACUUGUCUUGGCUGGUUGGUUUAAUGUAUAUAAUAAUCCCAGUUGAUGAACACAUCUCUAAGUAAAUGAGUUUUAUAUACCACAUGCCUGAGGUCAUUCUCAAGACUUAUUUCUUCCCCGAGUUUUUCCCUGACAGUAGCAGUUAGUGACAGUGUGACCCAGUCAUCUUAAUUGCUAUAAGUUUGCACAGCUCUUCUGCAUCGCUCUUGGCUAAUGAAUUAGAUUCUUACGUGGCUGACAUAGCGUGUCCCUGACAAGGUGACAGUGUAGAGAAGGACAGGAAGGAGAGGGAAGAAUGAAGAGGGACGUAAACUUUUGUCAGCACGCUAAGACACACGAACGUAACAUCCCAGCCUUUGUCCCAGGAAAAUGGGCCCAGUGAUGAGAACAUACAGAGCACCUCUGGGUCAUUUGCCCUAAUAUUAUGAUUUGUAAUCCUCGACUAUUAAAAAAAAUCGAUGGCAGAAAGUGAGGUGUGAGUGACGUUCUGAAGCGUCGCAGCAAAGAGGCUUUUUGUCAAUCUUACAGUCAGACCUCCAGCCCAGUCCACUGGGCGGUUCUAGAAAACAGCUAAGUUACCUUUGACACCUAGAGUUGUAAGCUCCACAUAUGGAUGAAAAUGUGUUGAAGAAAUCUUGUUGCUUCACUCUUGGGGCUCCCUGACUCCCAUCACGGUGUUACCCACAAACUUUGCAUUUGAAACACAGUGAAGCAGUGGCUCUCCUUGGUGGCAAGGGAUACGUUGACAGCUUAGCUGUUCCUCUGGGAGACCUGUCCCCUGCAGGUCCCUAGAGGAUAUGUUGUUAGCAAGUGAAAAGCUCUUCAAAGAAUCACAUAUCCACAGAAAUCUGCCCCAUGGAAUAGUGUCACAGCCCAGAACACCCUCACUGGAGUUUUUGGAAGACAGACCCCCCCAAAUUCCAGAAGGCGUGGUCAGGGCUGGGCGUCUGCAGGGUGUGCCGGUGUAGGCUCAUGAUUUCCAAAGGCCGGGCGAGCCAAAGCCAAGACCCGGGCUCUGUUUCUCUCUCGUGGGUUAUGAAUGGAAGCCAGAGCAAGAGGCGUGGUUCACGUGGAGAACCACCAGGUGGCAGUGUGGAGAACGAGAGAGCGUUUCUGUCUCCUGGGAGAGGGAUGCUGGUUUAAACUGUUCUCGUCUGUAAAGGACUUUCUUUAACCUGUAAGCUCAGUGAUCAGGAAGGAAAAGGCAAAACACCUGCUUACUUCCAAUGGCGGAUCUAGCCUUUUCAAGCUUGUAGUACUGUGAUUUGGUAAUGUUUCUGAAGCUACCUGAAACCCAUUUAUUUAUAAACUGUAUUUUCAGGAGAGAUUGAAAUAAUUGUUGAAUUAUACGGCAUGAGAAGGAGAAAGAGGCAGGGAGAUCUUAGUAAAAAUUAAAUAUUAAGUUGGAACGGGACCAGGGAGAGCAUCAGAAGAUAAGAAAGGUACAGUGGAUGUUUUAACCAAAUGCUAGCCUAACCCAUUCAUCAAAGGAAAGAACAUGAGUUCUUUUUUCUUAUUUUUUCUUUUUUUAUGCUAUUUUAGGGCCACACCCGCAGCAUAUGGAGGUUCCCAGGCUAGGGGUUGAAUUGGAGCUGUAGCCGCUGGCCUAUGCCACAGCCAUAGCAACCUACGUGUCUGCAGCCUACACCACAGCUCAGGGCAACUCCAAAUCCUUAACCCACUGAGCGAGGCCAGGGAUCAGUCCUGCAUCCUCAUGGAUCCUGGUCAGGUUGGUUAACCACUGCGCCGUGACGGGAACUCCAAGAACAUUAUGUCUUAAUCACAGUGUAACCAGAUGGAGCCAUAUGAAAUUGCUGAUAUUCAGCAUCGUUGACCUAGAAAUGAUCAUGGCAUGUGGUUCAGCUUAAAUAAAACUAGAAACUAUUGGAAACGGUAAAUUGUAAAAUAUGUAAAAGCACACUAAAUUAUUCCAUGAUCUAAUCAGGAUGGUAGAUAAACAAUAAUCCAAAAUAAAGUUCUUUAAAAACCCACUGUAGUCCCCUAACCUCUAACAUCAGAUACUUUUAAUUGAAAAUAUUUUCUAUGUGCCUAGGAUGAUUUGAGAAAACUGCAAGUGCAAGGAUUUUUUUUUUUUUUUUUGAGAGAAAAUGAAAAUAAGUCUAGGUAGGCAGGCAUUUUCCAUUAGCCCCAAAGAAAUAGGACACCAAGCAGUGUUUUCACUUUUAAGAACCUGGAGGAGGCUGGCUGUAGAAAAGCUCGAGUGGUCACGUGCAGGUGAGUAUUAGUCUUUCUGCACGGGUGGUACAAGACCUCCUCCCGGCCAUGAUGUGACCUUGACCUGAGGGGCCCUUCUCAGGUCCUCCGCCACGUGACAGCAAGGGAGUCCACGUGUGUCUACAGAAAAAAAACAGUAUUGGGCUUGGCUGCGCCAGCCUUGCCCUGACCCGCCUCUGGGCACGGGUGUGGGUGUGGGUUCUGUCUGAGCAGGGCCAUUAGCAUGUUUCUCCUGCCAUGUCUCAUCCCUGGUUUCUGGGUCAUUUGAGACCAGCUUUCUGUGUUUGUUAACAGAUCUUAAAGGCCAUAGAAAAUAAUGAAGAGUACUUUUUGGUUGUAAACGCAGAAGGAAAGUAGACUUAUUAGUAUUUGAAAGGAAUAUCAAAUUAAAAUAUACUAUUUUCUGUAUAUAUUAAAUUGAGAAUAAUCUCAUGAUAAAUGAAGAGGCAAAAUAGUACUUUGAUAACAUUUUUACGGGGUUAAAAGCAAAAAAAAAAAA